UACGUAGGGUGCGAGCGUUAAUCGGAAUUACUGGGCGUAAAGCGUGCGCAGGCGGUUUUGUAAGCCAGAUGUGAAAUCCCUGGGCUUAACCUGGGAAUGGCAUUUGGGACUGCAAGGCUGGAGUGCGGCAGAGGAGACUGGAAUUCCUGGUGUAGCAGUGAAAUGCGUAGAUAUCAGGAGGAACACCGAUGGCGAAGGCAGGUCUCUGGGCUGACACUGACGCUCAUGCACGAAAGCGUGGGGAGCAAACAGG
RNAcentral lists this ribosomal RNA (253 nucleotides) under uncultured bacterium. Its description in RNAcentral is "partial 16S ribosomal RNA". It matches the Rfam family "Bacterial small subunit ribosomal RNA", at positions 524 to 776 of the family's 1533-position model. The record is from RNAcentral.